This 484-nucleotide ribosomal RNA is filed under the name uncultured bacterium. Its description in RNAcentral is "partial 16S ribosomal RNA". It matches the Rfam family "Bacterial small subunit ribosomal RNA", at positions 28 to 523 of the family's 1533-position model. The record is from RNAcentral.
GACGAACGCUGGCGGCGUGCUUAACACAUGCAAGUCGAACGAUGAACCCGGAGCUUGCUCCGGUGGAUUAGUGGCGAACGGGUGAGUAACACGUGAGUAACCUGCCCUUGACUCUGGGAUAACUGCGGGAAACUGUAGCUAAUACCGGAUACGACCCUCGGCGGCAUCGCCAGGGGGUGGAAAGAAUUUCGGUCAAGGAUGGACUCGCGGCCUAUCAGCUAGUUGGUGAGGUAACGGCUCACCAAGGCGACGACGGGUAGCCGGCCUGAGAGGGUGACCGGCCAAACGGGGACUGGGACACGGCCCAGACUCCUACGGGAGGCAGCAGUGGGGAAUAUUGCACAAUGGGCGCGAGCCUGAUGCAGCGACGCCGCGUGAGGGGUGACGGCCUUCGGGUUGUAAACCUCUUUUAGUAGGGAAGAAGCGAAAGUGACGGUACCUGCAGAAAAAGCACCGGCUAACUACGUGCCAGCCGCCGCGGUAA